This 117-nucleotide ribosomal RNA is filed under the name Candidatus Berkelbacteria bacterium. The record is from RNAcentral. Lineage: Bacteria; Candidatus Berkelbacteria.
GCUGGUGCCUGGUGCGCGGGGGACACACCCGUUCCCAUUCCGAACACGGUAGUUAAGCUCCGUAGCGCUGAUGAUACUACAGCCGCAAGGCUGUGGGACAGUAAGUCGGCGCCGGCA